UCGUGAUAAUAUGAUUUAAGGCCGAAACAAUACAUAAUGUUACACGGCCUAAGUUUUUGAUACAAGGAGUAUCAAUAGUCAUCAACAAAUUUUUUUAACUGCAAUUCCAAAUUUGAGAUGAAUAAAUUAAUAAUAAUAAUCGUAAUAGACAACAAUGUUAUUGUUAAUUACGAAUUUACAACUUCAAAACAAGUGAUUAAAUAUAUUAAUAGGUAUCUCCAUUACAUGAAUUUAAGUAUAAUGAACAUAUUCUUGUAUAUGUUUUAUACAAUAUUUACUUUUUUAAUCUACUUCUUUCUACUUCUUUUUUAUAAGAUUUAUAAGAAUUCCAACAAUACUAAGGUAUAAAUAAUAAAUUAUAAUAGCUCAAGCUGUAUUUGGGUGUUAAAAAAUAAAUUUCUUAACAGCACCAUGAUAAAGUAAUAUUACCGGUAAUUUAUUCAAAUUUGUGCUUGGACACAUAACAAAUUGAAUCUUGGAUUAGUCAUGAGUAGAUUAGAUGACUGAAGUGGAGUGGUACAGAAGUAUUCCAUAAAAUGUUGAUUCUCUAAACCACUCAUCAAAAAAAUAAUUACUUAUAACCAAGACUAUAGAAUAUGGUAAGAGGUAUUUAGGAAAUAUAAAAAUUAUUGAUCCAACUCAAGAACGUAAAUAUGACAAAUUCAAUAAUUGCAGUUAGUAUAAUGCAUUGGAUAUAAUUUUAAAAAUAACCGAAUUAUUUUAAAUGAAUGAAAUAAAUGGUCCAGUGUGAUAGACGAUAAAAACCAAUAAUGUACUGCUGUAAAUGUGUAAACUGUGUAGGUACUAGGUACAUAUCAUACACUAGGAACAAAGAGACAAAAUAUACUUCAUAAUUUUAAAUGAAAUACUUAACAAAAACUUGACCAACAAAAUUCCAAAUUAUCACAUUACAAAACAAUUAAAAACGUCAAAAAAUAUUUUAAGUGUAAUUUAAAAAAAAACUUUAGCCACUAAUAAACAAUUUUAUGCUAAAUAUAAUUUACCUAUUGUAGUAAUCAACACUAACUAUAAUAGUAGAUUUCUUAGCCUACAAAAUAUCCCCAAUUUGUAUUACCACCAAGAUAAAUAAAAUAUUAUAGAAGGGAAACCAUUUAAACAUAUAUUUUAAUUUAUUAUUAAUACCUAACUAACAACAGUCAAUAAUACAUAAAUCUAAUACUUAUUUUUUUUUUUAAAUUACUGACAUACUAACAUCAAUUAAUAAUAUUAUUGUAAUAAAUAUAAUAUGUUUUAGUGUUUUAAUAAUCAUAAUUUUUCUCAGUUAUCAUGUGAAAAAAAAGAUAAUAUGUAACCUAGUAGGAAACCUGCAACUACAAUACAAAAUACAGAUUAAUUCAGAAACACAAUGGAUAAAAAUAAGAAGUUAUUAACCAUAACUAUAAAUAUGUAUUAAACUUGUAUGUGAAAUGUGAAUGUAUAUAUUAUGUAAGUAAUUUUAUUGGUAAUCAAAAAGAAAAUAUAUUAAUAAUAUUAUUCUCUUUCUUCCACUUAUCGUGUUCAAAAAUAUUAUUAUUCAAUUUAUUACCAAAUACAAUAGGUAAUAAUAGUAAAAAAAAAAAAACAAUCUGUAAAAAUAAUGUAGCUUAUCAUAAAUCUAUUAUCACUACUGAACUAUGAUUAUUAAAAAGAAACCAUAUUAGAGUAUUAGACAUACUACAUCUUAAGAAAAAUGGAUUAAUAUGUUAAUUUGAAUAGUGAUAAAUAAUUUUUUGUUUUCUAAAUAUCUAUAAUACCUUAGUUGUUUAGUGUACGCACAUGACAGUACCAACCAUUUGAAAAUCAAGUUAAAUGUUUUGAUUCGCAUAUUUGUAUACUGUAUUAGUUAUAUUGCUUAUUUCUUUUAUUAUAUAAAAAAAAUGCUAAUAAAUCAAAUAAAAUAUACAUAUCAAAUUUUAGUUUUUUUUAAGAAAAGUGUAAAACAAAUUGGUAUUUUACUUUUGAUGUCUAUGAUUAACCAAAAAAAAAAUAUAUGCAUUUCCUAGAACUUCUGAGUCCCAUUUAUAGUUAAUAAACUAAUUAUCCAAAAAUUGAUUUUAUUAGAUGUAAAUAUUCCAAGCUAUACCUAUUUUGUUUCAGAAUAUAAAAAUAUAUACUAUUAUUCAAAAGAACAAAAAAAAUUAUAUUUAUAAGUUAAAUAAAUAAUAAAUAAUGUUUAGUAUGGCUUAAAAGUAUUUAAGAUAUUUGUAUUUUUCGAAAUAAUGAAUGUUAUGCAGUAAAUAAGUACUCUAGGAUCUAGGAAAUUCAACACCGAGGGUCAAUAAAACUAUAGCGCUCUUAGAUAAAGCUAUACAUACGAUGUGUCAGGUUUCAACAUAAAACAAUAUUUUUAAAUACAAAUCAAAAAGUAUAUUUUUAUAUUACAAAUAUUUUUAUUGAAACUAUUAUUUUCAUUAAUUUAUGUUUAUAUUUGUAAAAUUAAUGUUAUAAAACAAAAUCAUAAUGUUUAAAUAACAUUGACUACUGAAUAAGAACAAAUGAACAAUACAAAAUGCAGUAUACACCAGAAAAAAAUUGUUUAAAGAUAUACUAUAAAUACAUAUUUAUUCAAAUAAUUUAUGUGUUAUAUUAUUUGUUCACAAUAGAAGUUUGGAAAUUUAUUAUAAUUUGUACAUAUUUUAUUAUACAUUUCAUGUUCAUGAUUUAUAUUUUCAUAAACUUAAUAAAAGUGUACUUAACAAUACAAGGACUUGUAUAAAUAUAUUUUGUAUCAUUAUUAGUUGAUACAAGUAACUAAAGAAAAAUUAAUUAAUUCUGUCUUAAUUAUGUAAGUAUUAAGAUAAUUAUUACAUUAUAUGUUUAACUUUUAUUGUACCAUGAUUUUAAUUGUAAUAAUAAAAUAAAAAACACACACACAAAAGGGUGUCAAGAUUUCCUAUUUACUCUAAUAUAAUUUUUACAUAAUUCAACUAUAAGUUUUUUACAAUUUUAUUUCUUAUUGAUAUCACAAAUAAUUUAUUCUUUAAGCGGUUUUUAAAAGAACCCGUUAUGAGUGUGUCAUUAAAUUAUCAACAGUGUUGGGUGGUAACAUAAGGCAGUUUGCGUUACACAAAUUACAAAUUGCAGUAACGACAUUACUUUUUCAGUAACGCAGCAGUAAUUUCAUUACAUUUUGCUUAAAGUAAAACAGUUGUAAUGAAAUUUCUUUUUAAAAGUAAUUUCUAUGAAGUAACGCACUUUGACGUUAUUUUCCACAUUAUUAAAAUAAUAGUUUUGAAUAUGUUUAAAUGUUUUGUAUUUACAAAAACAAGCUGAUACAUCGCGAUGGGAUAGGUAUUCUAGAAAAAUUAAAAAUUAAUUAUAAUAUAAUUGCUAACUUUUUUUUUUUUUUAAGAGCUACAUUGGAGUCAAUGAACUAUCAUUAGUUUGAUCCUAUAAGUAUGAAACAAAAGUCUGCAACUCUUGCUUGUCAGAGGCUAAAAGAUCGACAUACUUUUGAUGUUUUGGCUAAAGUUCUAACCUUUGGUCAUUAGAAACAAAUACACAACAAGAGUUGAAAACACUAAUGAUGAUGAAGAUGACAAUUAUAAUGAAGUAGAGAUGAUAGAAAUAGAUGAGAUUUUAGGCUUUAGCUAAUGGCCAUAAAAAAAAUCCAGAAUAUUCACUUCCACCUCAUCAUCGCUGCGCAAGUCACACUCUGAAUUUAGUUGCAACAAGAGACAGUGAAAAAGCAUUAUCUGAUGUAAUGUAUAAAAGACAGAUGAGAUCAACGUUUGCAAAAAUGCAAGGUUUGUGGAAGAAGCAAAGCAGAACAUUUGUAGUUGCAGAUAUUGUUCAUGACACAUUCAAUUUGUAUAUAACUGUACCAAAUACAACUCGAUGGAAUUCAACAUACAA
Molecule: long non-coding RNA, 3855 nt
Organism: Aphis gossypii (cotton aphid)
Lineage: Eukaryota; Metazoa; Arthropoda; Insecta; Hemiptera; Aphididae
Exons: 3
Source: RefSeq, a predicted model, not a curated record